This 460-nucleotide ribosomal RNA is filed under the name uncultured Prevotella sp. RNAcentral describes it as "bacterial SSU rRNA". It matches the Rfam family "Bacterial small subunit ribosomal RNA", at positions 338 to 795 of the family's 1533-position model. Lineage: Bacteria; Pseudomonadati; Bacteroidota; Bacteroidia; Bacteroidales; Prevotellaceae. The record is from RNAcentral.
CCUACGGGGGGCAGCAGUGAGGAAUAUUGGUCAAUGGACGGAAGUCUGAACCAGCCAAGUAGCGUGCAGGAUGACGGCCCUAUGGGUUGUAAACUGCUUUUGUAUGGGGAUAAAGUUAGGGACGUGUCCCUAUUUGCAGGUACCAUACGAAUAAGGACCGGCUAAUUCCGUGCCAGCAGCCGCGGUAAUACGGAAGGUCCAGGCGUUAUCCGGAUUUAUUGGGUUUAAAGGGAGCGUAGGCUGGAGAUUAAGUGUGUUGUGAAAUGUAGACGCUCAACGUCUGAAUUGCAGCGCAUACUGGUUUCCUUGAGUACGCACAACGUUGGCGGAAUUCGUCGUGUAGCGGUGAAAUGCUUAGAUAUGACGAAGAACUCCGAUUGCGAAGGCAGCUGACGGGAGCGCAACUGACGCUUAAGCUCGAAGGUGCGGGUAUCAAACAGGAUUAGAUACCCGGGUAGUC